AAGAGCGGGACGGUUGGGCAGAGACUCCUCCUUGGUGUUCCAUGAGAAAGUACGGUGUGAAAGAGAGAGGGUGUCACAGUGAAGGUGAGGCGGGCUUAUUUUCAUUAGCCCAGCAGUGUUUUCGUUGUACAUGUAAGUAUAACCAAUUAGUAGAGAGAAUUUGUUGCUGCAUUCCCUGAAAAAGAAAAUUGUCGCUGCAUUCGAAGAAUGCACAUAAACAUAAACAUGGUGUAUUUCUUACAAAGAUUACAUAGGUGGUGUAGACAAACAUCAUUUUAAGGUGUGAACAUUUGUUUUCCUUUCAAAACAUGAACAUCAAUUCAAGAUACAUUAGCAUUUCUCUUCAUCUACAAGAAUUUUUAAAAUAUUUCUGAAAAAUACACGAACAUUUGUUUUUCCAUAUGUGUGAACAUUUUUUCUUGCAACAUGUAAACAUUUGUUUGGCAAGCAAAACAUUUGUGAAAAAAAUAGAGGAAUUUUUUUAAAAUACG
This 491-nucleotide long non-coding RNA is filed under the name Hordeum vulgare. Its description in RNAcentral is "long non-coding RNA (HVUL_LNC016780)". Lineage: Eukaryota; Viridiplantae; Streptophyta; Magnoliopsida; Poales; Poaceae. The record is from RNAcentral.